GAUGAACGCUAGCUACAGGCUUAACACAUGCAAGUCGAGGGGUAACGAGAGGAAAGCUUGCUUUCCUUGUCGACGACCGGCGCACGGGUGAGUAACGCGUAUCCAACCUGCCCCCAACUAGGGAAUAACCUUGCGAAAGUAAGACUAAUACCCUAUAAUUUCCUCAGAUGUCAUCUGACGAGGAAUAAAGAUUUAUCGGUUGUGGAUGGGGACGCGUCUGAUUAGCUUGUUGGCGGGGUAACGGCCCACCAAGGCAACGAUCAGUAGGGGUUCUGAGAGGAAGGUCCCCCACAUUGGAACUGAGACACGGUCCAAACUCCUACGGGAGGCAGCAGUGAGGAAUAUUGGUCAAUGGGCGGAAGCCUGAACCAGCCAAGUAGCGUGCAGGAUGACGGCCCUAUGGGUUGUAAACUGCUUUUAUACGGGAAUAAAGUUAGCCACGUGUGGUUAUUUGUAGGUACUGUAUGAAUAAGGACCGGCUAAUUCCGUGCCAGCCGCCGCUGUAA
RNAcentral lists this ribosomal RNA (506 nucleotides) under uncultured bacterium. Its description in RNAcentral is "partial 16S ribosomal RNA". It matches the Rfam family "Bacterial small subunit ribosomal RNA", at positions 28 to 523 of the family's 1533-position model. The record is from RNAcentral.